Molecule: ribosomal RNA, 1302 nt
Filed under: Salmonella enterica subsp. enterica serovar 4,12:d:-
Lineage: Bacteria; Pseudomonadati; Pseudomonadota; Gammaproteobacteria; Enterobacterales; Enterobacteriaceae
Description: partial 23S ribosomal RNA
Rfam family: Bacterial large subunit ribosomal RNA
Source: RNAcentral
GGGUUGUGAGGUUAAGCGACUAAGCGUACACGGUGGAUGCCCUGGCAGUCAGAGGCGAUGAAGGGCGUGCUAAUCUGCGAUAAGCGCCGGUAAGGUGAUAUGAACCGUUAUAACCGGCGAUACCCGAAUGGGGAAACCCAGUGUGAUUCGUCACACUAUCAUUAACUGAAUCCAUAGGUUAAUGAGGCGAACCGGGGGAACUGAAACAUCUAAGUACCCCGAGGAAAAGAAAUCAACCGAGAUUCCCCCAGUAGCGGCGAGCGAACGGGGAGGAGCCCAGAGCCUGAAUCAGCAUGUGUGUUAGUGGAAGCGUCUGGAAAGGCGCGCGAUACAGGGUGACAGCCCCGUACACAAAAGCGCAUGUGCUGUGAGCUCGAUGAGUAGGGCGGGACACGUGGUAUCCUGUCUGAAUAUGGGGGGACCAUCCUCCAAGGCUAAAUACUCCUGACUGACCGAUAGUGAACCAGUACCGUGAGGGAAAGGCGAAAAGAACCCCGGCGAGGGGAGUGAAAAAGAACCUGAAACCGUGUACGUACAAGCAGUGGGAGCCCCACCACUAAGCCAGUGGUGAACUCCACAUACGCAUCCUUUGCUGAGGAUACGGUUAACGGAGCGAAAGCGACGUUCAACCGCAAAAGAAGCAGAGGGGGCUUAGUGGUGGGGUGACUGCGUACCUUUUGUAUAAUGGGUCAGCGACUUAUAUUCUGUAGCAAGGUUAACCGUAUAGGGGAGCCGCAGGGAAACCGAGUCUUAACCGGGCGUUAAGUUGCAGGGUAUAGACCCGAAACCCGGUGAUCUAGCCAUGGGCAGGUUGAAGGUUGGGUAACACUAACUGGAGGACCGAACCGACUAAUGUUGAAAAAUUAGCGGAUGACCUGUGGCUGGGGGUGAAAGGCCAAUCAAACCGGGAGAUAGCUGGUUCUCCCCGAAAGCUAUUUAGGUAGCGCCUCGUGAAUUCAUCUCCGGGGGUAGAGCACUGUUUCGGCUAGGGGGCCAUCCCGGCUUACCAACCCGAUGCAAACUGCGAAUACCGGAGAAUGUUAUCACGGGAGACACACGGCGGGUGCUAACGUCCGUCGUGAAGAGGGAAACAACCCAGACCGCCAGCUAAGGUCCCAAAGUCAUGGUUAAGUGGGAAACGAUGUGGGAAGGCCCAGACAGCCAGGAUGUUGGCUUAGAAGCAGCCAUCAUUUAAAGAAAGCGUAAUAGCUCACUGGUCGAGUCGGCCUGCGCGGAAGAUGUAACGGGGCUAAACCAUGCACCGAAGCUGCGGCAGCGACGCUGAUGCGUUGUUGGGUAGGG